UCGGGUAUGGUGUAACGGCUAACAUUGCCGCCUCUCAUUCAUGAUUUGUGACGCGGCAGCUCGGGGUUCGAUUCCCCGUACCCGAA
Molecule: non-coding RNA, 86 nt
Organism: Termitomyces sp. T159_Od127
Lineage: Eukaryota; Fungi; Basidiomycota; Agaricomycetes; Agaricales; Lyophyllaceae
Source: the annotation of a GenBank genome assembly